AGAGUUUGAUCCUGGCUCAGGAUUAACGCUAGCGGCAGGCCUAAUACAUGCAAGUCGAACGGUAACAGGUGUAGCAAUACAUGCUGACGAGUGGCGCACGGGUGCGUAACACGUAUGUAAUCUGCCUUUAACUGGGGGAUAACUCCUCGAAAGAGGAGCUAAUACCGCAUAACAUCACUGGACGGCAUCGCCUGGUGAGCAAACCUACGGGGGUUAAAGAUGAACAUGCGUCUGAUUAGUUAGUUGGCGGGGUAACGGCCCACCAAGACGGCGAUCAGUAGGGGAUCUGAGAGGAUGAUCCCCCACACGGGUACUGAGACACGGACCCGACUCCUACGGGAGGCAGCAGUAAGGAAUAUUGGACAAUGGAGGCAACUCUGAUCCAGCCAUGCCGCGUGAAGGAUGAAUGCGCUAUGCGUUGUAAACUUCUUUUAUACGGGAAAAAUAUCCGCUAUUCUUAGCGGAUUGAUUGUACUGUAAGAAUAAGGGUCGGCUAACUUCGUGCCAGCAGCCGCGGUAAUACGAAGGACCCGAGCGUUAUCCGGAUUUAUUGGGUUUAAAGGGUGCGUAGGCGUCCUGGAAAGUUACGGUUGAAAUCUCCUUGCUUAACAAGGAAACUGGCCGUAAAACUAUCAGGAUUGAGUACAUUUGAAGCGGGCGGAAUGUGUCAUGUAGCGGUGAAAUGCUUAGAUAUGACACAGAACACCAAUUGCGAAGGCAGCUCGCUAAACUGUAACUGACGCUGAGGCACGAAAGCGUGGGGAUCAAACAGGAUUAGAUACCCUGGUAGUCCACGCCCUAAACGAUGAUUACUCGAUGUGUGCGAUACACUGUACGCGUCUGAGCGAAAGCAUUAAGUAAUCCACCUGGGGAGUACGAUCGCAAGAUUGAAACUCAAAGGAAUUGACGGGGGCCCGCACAAGCGGAGGAGCAUGUGGUUUAAUUCGAUGAUACGCGAGGAACCUUACCUGGGCUUGAAAGUUAGUGAAGCAAGCAGAAACGUUUGCGUCAGCAAUGACACGAAACUAGGUGCUGCAUGGCUGUCGUCAGCUCGUGCCGUGAGGUGUUGGGUUAAGUCCCGCAACGAGCGCAACCCCUAUCUUUAGUUGCCAUCAGGUAAUGCUGGGGACUCUAAAGAGACUGCCCGCGUAAGCGUGGAGGAAGGUGGGGAUGACGUCAAGUCAUCACGGCCCUUACGUCCAGGGCUACACACGUGCUACAAUGGCCGGUACAAUGGGCAGCCACAUGGCAACAUGGAGCUAAUCCUAUAAAGCCGGUCUCAGUUCGGAUUGAGGUCUGCAACUCGACCUUAUGAAGCUGGAUUCGCUAGUAAUCGUAGAUCAGCAAUGCUACGGUGAAUACGUUCCCGGGCCUUGUACACACCGCCCGUCAAGCCAUGGAAGUUGGGAGUACCUGAAGUCGGUGACCGCAAGGAGCCGCCCAGGGUAAAACCAAUGACUGGGGCUAAGUCGUAACAAGGUAGCCGUACCGGAAGGUGCGGCUG
RNAcentral lists this ribosomal RNA (1504 nucleotides) under Bacteroidetes bacterium 2013_40CM_41_45. RNAcentral's name for it is "bacterial SSU rRNA". It matches the Rfam family "Bacterial small subunit ribosomal RNA". Lineage: Bacteria; Pseudomonadati; Bacteroidota. The record is from RNAcentral. RNAcentral also lists the same sequence under 1 other name.